CCUACGGGUGGCAGCAGUGAGGAAUAUUGGUCAAUGGGCGCAAGCCUGAACCAGCCAAGUCGCGUGAGGGAUGACGGUCCUAUGGAUUGUAAACCUCUUUUGUCGGGGAGCAAGGCCCGCCACGUGUGGCGGGAAGGAGAGUACCCGCAGAAAAAGCAUCGGCUAACCCCGUGCCAGCAGCCUCGGUAAUACGGAGGAUGCGGGCUUUACCCGGAUUUAUUGGGUUUAAAGGGUGCGUAGGCGGAAGGGUAGUUCAGCGGUCACAUGUGGGUGCUCAACACCGUCGUGCCGUUGAAACUGGUCUGCUUGAGUGAGCGAGAAGUAUGCGGAAUGCGUGGUGUAGCGGUGAAAUGCAUAGAUAUCACGCAGAACUCCGAUUGCGAAGGCAGCAUACCGGCGCUCAACUGACGCUGAGGCACGAAAGCGUGGGGAUCGAACAGGAUUAGAUACCCUUGUAGUC
This 460-nucleotide ribosomal RNA is filed under the name uncultured bacterium. RNAcentral describes it as "partial 16S ribosomal RNA". It matches the Rfam family "Bacterial small subunit ribosomal RNA", at positions 338 to 795 of the family's 1533-position model. The record is from RNAcentral.